GACAGAGGGUGCAAACGUUGCUCGGAAUUACUGGGCGUAAAGGGUUUGUAGGUGGCUAAUUAAGUCAGACGUGAAAUCCCUCAGCUUAACUGGGGAACUGCGUCUGAUACUGGUUGGCUUGAGUGCAGGAGAGGAAUGCGGAAUUCCAGGUGUAGCGGUGAAAUGCGUAGAUAUCUGGAGGAACACCGGUGGCGAAGGCGGCGUUCUGGACUGCAACUGACACUGAGAAACGAAAGCCAGGGGAGCAAACGGG
RNAcentral lists this ribosomal RNA (253 nucleotides) under uncultured bacterium. RNAcentral describes it as "partial 16S ribosomal RNA". It matches the Rfam family "Bacterial small subunit ribosomal RNA", at positions 524 to 776 of the family's 1533-position model. The record is from RNAcentral.